CACGACUGAACCACCUCCCAGGCAUGCCAGAACCAGGUGCAGGACACGAUUGAACCACCUACAGGACACGUUGAAUUUCCUUGCCUGAUACACAGGAAUGACCUGCUGCACAUGCUGGAAUCACCUACCAGACAUGCCAGGACCACCUGUGGGAUAUAACAGAACCAAGUGCCUGAUUUUCUGAAGCUACCUGCCAGACACGCCAGAUCCAGCUGUCAGACACCCCUGGACAACCCACAGGACAAGUCAAAAUCACCUGCAUGAUACCCCGUAACCAUGUGCCACGCAGAACGGAACCACCUGCCAGACAAGCUGGAGCGACCUGUGGCAUACACCAGAAACAGUCGCAGCACACGCUGGAACAAGGUGCCCCACAAGACUGAUCCACCUGCCAGAUAAGACUCAACCAUCUGCUGGAAAUGCCGAAACCACCUUCCAGAAGCGCCAGAACCAUCUGUGGCACACGCCAGAACCACCUACUGGACAUGUCUGACCCACCUGCCUGACACGCUGGAACCAACUGUUGGACAUCUUGGAACCAUCAUCUGGACACUCUGAAACCACCCACCACUGAUGCGAGAAUCAGGUCCAGAAUGCGCCAGAAGCACCUGCAGGACAGGCCAUAACCACCUGACUCACAUGCCAAAAUCACCUGCCAGAUAUGCCAGAACCACUUGACGGACACUCCGGAAUCACAUGCAGCGCAUGCCAGAACCACCUCUCACAUAUGCCAGAACUAAGUGCCGGACACUCCGGAACCACCUCCAAGACAGACUUGAACCACCUGCUGCACACGCCUGAACCACUGGGCGAACACGCUGGAACCACCUGCUUGACUCGCUGGAACCCCCUGCCGGACAGGCCAAAAUCACCUGCUGGAUACACUGGAAGCAGGCCACAUGGAUGCUGUAAAAACCUGACAUACAUGCCGGAACCACCCGCUGGACACUCUGGAACCACCACACAGGCAUGCAGAGCGACCCACCAGACCAACCAGAGCACCCACCGGACACGCCACAACCACCUGGAACCACACGCCGGACACACUGGAACCAUCUCUCUGAUACACCAGAACUGACUCCCGGCCAUGCUGGAAGCACUCAAUAGCCAGGCCAGAACCAUCUUCUGAAUUUACCAGAGCCACAUGCCAGACACACAGGAACCAACUCCCAGACACUUCGGAAACACCUGUUGGAUAUGCCGCAACCAGGUGCCAGAUACACUGAAACCACCUGCUGAAUAUGCCAGAACCAGGUGCCAGACACGCCACAAACACCUGCCAGACAGGCCGAAAACACCAGCCUAACUCACUGGAACAACCUGUCAUAGACACCAAAAUCACCUGCCAGAUACACCAGAACCAGGUCCUGGAUACGCCAAUAGCAAUUUCUGGAAAAUCCUGGAUUAACAUGCCGCACAUGCCAGAAUCACCCACCGGACAUGUGGGAACCAACUGCCAGACAUGCUGGAACCAACACCUUGACACUCUGAAAGCACCCACAGCACAUGACGGAAUCAGGUUCCGGACACACAGUAGCCACCUGACGGACAUGCCGGAACCACCUUCAGGAUGUAUCAGAACCACAUGCCAAACACACAGGAACCACCUGCCAGACACCAUGGGACCAAAUGUCAGAAACACCAAAACCAGGUGCUUGAUAUGCCGAAGCCACUUGCUGAAGACGCCAGAAACAUGUGCUGGACAUGCCGGAACCAUGUGAUGGAGACAUCUGAAACUUGUCCAACACAGGCCAGAACCAGGUGCCCCACAUGCCAGCACUACCUGCUGGACACGCCUGGUUCACCUGUUGGUCUUGUGAGAACCACCUCUCGGAUACACCGGAAACAGGUGUAGCACAUGCCAAGACCAGGUGCCGCACACUCUGGAAUCACCUGACGGACACAUCAAAAUCACCUGCUGCAUAUGCCGCAACCAUGUGCUGCACCCAUGGGAAUCACCUACCAGACAUGCUGAGACCACCAGCGGGAUACGCCGGAACCAUGUGCUGCACAUGCCGGAAUCACCUACAAGACAUGCCGGGGCCACCUGUUGCAUACGCCGGAACUAGUUGCCUGAUUAGGUGAAGCUCCCUCCGGGUACGCCAGAGCCGGUGUGGGACAUGCCUGGACAGCCCUCAGCACACCUCAAACUCUCCUGCAGUAUACCCUGUAGCCAUGUCCCAGACACGCAGGAACCACCUGUUGGAUAUGCCGGAACCAGGUGCCAAAUAGUCUGAAACCACCUACCGAUUACACCAGAAUCAGGUGCCAGACAUGCCACAAAAGCUUGCCAGACAUGCCGGAACCACCCGCUGGACACUCUGGAAGCACCACACUGUCAUGCCAGAACAACCCACCAGACACACAGGAAGCACCCACUGGACACGCCAGAACCAUGUGGAACCACCCGCCGGACACAUUGGAUCCAUGAGUCUGACAUGCCAGAACCAACUCCCGGACAUGCUGGCAGCACCCAACAGACAGGCCGGAACCAUCUUGCGAACCUACCAGAACCACAUGCCCGACACACAGCAACCACCUGCCAG
RNAcentral lists this long non-coding RNA (2546 nucleotides) under Equus caballus (horse). RNAcentral's name for it is "lncRNA (ENSECAG00000058466.1)". Lineage: Eukaryota; Metazoa; Chordata; Mammalia; Perissodactyla; Equidae. The record is from RNAcentral.